RNAcentral lists this ribosomal RNA (425 nucleotides) under uncultured bacterium. RNAcentral describes it as "bacterial SSU rRNA". It matches the Rfam family "Bacterial small subunit ribosomal RNA", at positions 354 to 796 of the family's 1533-position model. The record is from RNAcentral.
GUGGGGAAUCUUAGACAAUGGGGGCAACCCUGAUCUAGCCAUGCCGCGUGAGCGAUGAAGGCCUUAGGGUUGUAAAGCUCUUUCAGAUGGGAAGAUAAUGACGGUACCAUCAGAAGAAGCCCCGGCUAACUCCGUGCCAGCAGCCGCGGUAAUACGGAGGGGGCUAGCGUUGUUCGGAAUUACUGGGCGUAAAGCGCACGUAGGCGGACCAGAAAGUCAGAGGUGAAAUCCCAGGGCUCAACCUUGGAACUGCCUUUGAAACUCCUGGUCUUGAGGUCGAGAGAGGUGAGUGGAAUUCUGAGUGUAGAGGUGAAAUUCGUAGAUAUUCGGAGGAACACCAGUGGCGAAGGCGGCUCACUGGCUCGAUACUGACGCUGAGGUGCGAAAGCGUGGGGAGCAAACAGGAUUAGAUACCCGGGUAGUCC